This is a non-coding RNA of Stygiomarasmius scandens, 82 nucleotides long. Lineage: Eukaryota; Fungi; Basidiomycota; Agaricomycetes; Agaricales; Campanellaceae. The record is from the annotation of a GenBank genome assembly.
GCCCCCGUUGUCUAAUGGUUAUGACGUCAGACUUCUACUGUAUAGGAUCUGGAGGUUGCGGGUUCGAGUCCCGCCGGGGGUU